CCUACGGGUCGCAGCAGUGGGGAAUAUUGCACAAUGGGCGCAAGCCUGAUGCAGCCAUGCCGCGUGUAUGAAGAAGGCCUUAGGGUUGUAAAGUACUUUCAGUUGGGAGGAAGGCGUUGAUGCUAAUAUCAUCAACGAUUGACGUUACCAACAGAAGGAGCGCCGGCCAACUCCGUGCCAGCAGCCGCGGUAAUACGGAGGGUGCAAGCGUUAAUCGGAAUUACUGGGCGUAAAGCGCACGCAGGCGGUCUGUCAAGUCGGAUGUGAAAUCCCCGGGCUCAACCUGGGAACUGCAUUCGAAACUGGCAGGCUAGAGUCUUGUAGAGGGGGGUAGAAUUCCAGGUGUAGCGGUGAAAUGCGUAGAGAUCUGGAGGAAUACCGGUGGCGAAGGCGGCCCCCUGGACAAAGACUGACGCUCAGGUGCGAAAGCGUGGGGAGCAAACAGGAUUAGAUACCCCAGUAGUC
This 465-nucleotide ribosomal RNA is filed under the name uncultured bacterium. RNAcentral's name for it is "bacterial SSU rRNA". It matches the Rfam family "Bacterial small subunit ribosomal RNA", at positions 338 to 795 of the family's 1533-position model. The record is from RNAcentral.